UCUCUGUUGGUGAACCAGCGGAGGGAUCAUUACCGAGUGCAAACUCAUAACCCUUUGUGAACCUAUAUCUGUUGCUUCGGCGGCUCGCUCUCGGGCGAGCCCGCCGGUAAUAUCAGUAUCUCUGUUUGAACCCGACGAUACUUCUGAGUGUUCUUAGCGAACAGUUAAAACUUUUAACAACGGAUCUCUUGGCUCUA
This 197-nucleotide unclassified non-coding RNA is filed under the name plant metagenome. Its description in RNAcentral is "partial contains small subunit ribosomal RNA, internal transcribed spacer 1, and 5.8S ribosomal RNA". The record is from RNAcentral.